RNAcentral lists this ribosomal RNA (223 nucleotides) under Klebsiella pneumoniae. Its description in RNAcentral is "partial 16S ribosomal RNA". It matches the Rfam family "Bacterial small subunit ribosomal RNA", at positions 343 to 558 of the family's 1533-position model. Lineage: Bacteria; Pseudomonadati; Pseudomonadota; Gammaproteobacteria; Enterobacterales; Enterobacteriaceae. The record is from RNAcentral.
GGGGGGCAGCAGUGGAGAAUAUUGCACAAUGGGCGCAAGCCUGAUGCAGCCAUGCCGCGUGUAUGAAGAAGGCCUUCGGGUUGUAAAGUACUUUCAGCGGGGAGGAAGGCGAUAAGGUUAAUAACCUUGGCGAUUGACGUUACCCGCAGAAGAAGCACCGGCUAACUCCGUGCCAGCAGCCGCGGUAAUACGGAGGGUGCAAGCGUUAAUCGGAAUUACUGGG